Long non-coding RNA from Oreochromis aureus, 1285 nucleotides. The record is from Ensembl. NCBI's taxonomy places the organism in Eukaryota, Metazoa, Chordata, Actinopteri, Cichliformes, Cichlidae.
CCUCAUGUCUCAUUAGCUAUGAAUUUUAAUCCCCAGGACUGUACUUUUUACUCAUUUAGGCCACAGAUUUUAUUUAGUUUUCCUUUUUCCCGUCAUCAUAAAACAUGUGACAUGUUGUCAUGCAUUUCACAAAAGAAGUUUGUUAUGUAUUCAGAGUUUGGUAUCUGGGUGCAGGAUUCACUCGCACAUCACAACAGGAAACUCAGUGUUUUAGAGUGUCCACUCUAACACACUCCAACACAUCCCAUUCACUCGUACUAGAAUUCAGUCACCUUUCAUUAAUCUAAGAACCAUCAACUAAUUUGCAUAUCAGCUAUUAACCCACUAAGUUGACAGGACAACAGAAAUGCAUGUUCAAAAUAUUAUCACAAAAAUGGAAUUUCCCUCAUACAGUAAAUUACUUGUGCUGCAUCAAUCAGGCAGAAAGCAUGUCCCAAUUUACUAUAUUAACAACUAAAUUUGUCUGAUUGUCUGAUCACUGGUUGGUCAAACCAGAAUCUUUUUUUCCCACAAAAGUUAAACUGUUGUCCUGCAACCUAGAGAGUUAACUGUCAGCAUUGGAUAAAUUCAGCAUUUGAUAACAAGUGUCUGCUAAAUUGACACUAUUUUAGCACUGAUGAGAGAUAACAAGCUGAUCUUCAUUGCAUGUAUGUUUGUGUUAUUAGGCAGGUUUAAUCAAUGUGUCUGGAGCUGCAUCUCCAGCAGGGCAUGUUCUUAAAGCUGCCUUUCCUACACACUUCUCUGCUAUUAUUUGAUCAUUUUUAACUAAUGUGCUAUGAGUCCACCGGUGUUUGCAUCACUUCUCAUCACACGAAGUGACUUGGACAAGAUGAUAAACAGACUCACAUGCUUAAGAUGUUGUCUAAUCUUCAUGGGCUCUCUUGUGUUUGUGUUAGUAGGGUUAAUGCAUGUUCUGCUUGUGUGUGUGAUUUUGUAUAUGUUUCUUUUUGCAGUGGUUCAGAUUCCUUCACAAUUUUCCACUUAAGCAGUCAGUUUUCUUUUCCCCAGUCCAAUAGUCGGCAGUUCUUCUUCAGCUUUGUCCUGUGUUCCACUGUCUCAUCUUGCCAUUUUCUCCAAAGGCGGCAAAUGUCAAACUCCAACAGUCUCCUUAGUUCUCCUCAAAAGUCCUUUUCACAAGCACAGUGACUUUGCAGCUUGUUGGAAACACAGUGUCAUUCAUCCAAUCAGUCAGGAUGAUGGUUUGCUCUUCUUCUUUGAUACUGUUUGUCCACACUGCUGCUGCUUGCUGGGACUCUUUGCCCAGGACUUUGCUGCUGUCUCUUUA